Molecule: transfer RNA, 71 nt
Filed under: Sphaerodactylus townsendi
Lineage: Eukaryota; Metazoa; Chordata; Lepidosauria; Squamata; Sphaerodactylidae
Description: tRNA-Ala
Rfam family: tRNA
About the family: Transfer RNA (tRNA) molecules are approximately 80 nucleotides in length. Their secondary structure includes four short double-helical elements and three loops (D, anti-codon, and T loops). Further hydrogen bonds mediate the characteristic L-shaped molecular structure. tRNAs have two regions of fundamental functional importance: the anti-codon, which is responsible for specific mRNA codon recognition, and the 3' end, to which the tRNAs corresponding amino acid is attached (by aminoacyl-tRNA synthetases). tRNAs cope with the degeneracy of the genetic code in two manners: having more than one tRNA (with a specific anti-codon) for a particular amino acid; and 'wobble' base-pairing, i.e. permitting non-standard base-pairing at the 3rd anti-codon position.
Source: RNAcentral
GAAGGUAGGCUCAGAGGCAGAACAUCUGCUUUGCAUGCAGAAAGUCCCAGGUUCAGUCCUGGACAUCUUCA